GGCUGAUUAGCUCAGUUGGUUAGAGCGUGGUGCUAAUAACGCCAAGGUUGCAGGUUCGAUCCCCGUACAGGCCA
Non-coding RNA from Mugil cephalus (flathead mullet), 74 nucleotides. The record is from the annotation of a RefSeq genome assembly. Lineage: Eukaryota; Metazoa; Chordata; Actinopteri; Mugiliformes; Mugilidae.